AUUCAAAGUUACAAAAUAUUACAUAUGUUCCUCAACAAACAUUACAUUCCAAAUGUUUUUACAAUAACAUCUAAUCUUCCCUUAGAACUACUUCUGCAGCUUCGUUUAGUAACUGAUCAACAACUUUAUCCAUGAUGGCUUCGGCCAUUUUUCUAAUUUCGUCGUCCCCCUUCACGUGGGGGUCCGUCGAUGGCUCGGUAGACUCUGAGGGAGGAGAAAGUGCGGCUGUAUUACAAAGCGUAAACAAAUUCGAAAUCAAAAAAUUACAAGAAAGAGCCAAAAACUACUAGUCAAUACCUAUUUGCCUUUCGAGAUCCGCACUUUUCUCAGCGGCCUCUGCUACUUUUCUAGCGUCAUGAAUACCUUUCUCACUUUUUCGUAUAAUUUCUUGGGCCAUCUCCCGGCCACCAUUGUCCCAGAUGUCGGUGAAAAAUUUUCCACCGACCAGGCUCGCUUCGGCCGAGGGGUCUUUUAUAUUUCAGAAGAUAAGGCGGCUUCGGAUUGUGCCAAGAAUUUCACAUGGUCACAGCCUUUCCUCUCCAAAAUAGUGGCAAUCCCCCUAGCACCCGAAAAGGCACAGAUGUCUCCACGGCUAUUCAAAACUUCUUCAAAAGCUUCAGCUUCGUGGCUGAUCCAUCCAAUUGGGCCUUCGGGGUCACCCCUUAUGAAGUUUUCUUCACUUGAGAACGCGCCAACGCUGGCGAAGCUGGUUCUUAUUUUCUUAACACAUUCUAUAGAUUUUUCAUAACACUUUUUCUUGGAUGUACGAAGCUCUUCAAUGUUUUUUUCUAAAUGAUUGGCCCAUUGUUCACUAAUUUCUCGUUUUGUUUCUUCAAGUGUGCACUCUUCUUUAGCUCUGACUAGCUGUUUCCAAAGAUCCUCAAUUUCGCGCUUCUGAGCCUCAGCUUGAGCUUUGAAAGCAUCUUCGUCUUCUUUUAUUUUAUUCACUAACGAGUGUAAUAUUUUAUCUUUUUCGAGACCUUCGUUCCUUAGUUCAAUUACUUCAGAACGAAGGUUGCUCAAGGCUAUGGUACACCCUUCGUCUUCAGCAUCUUUUUGUGCCCUGAGGGCAUUGCUAAGAAUAAGGCCCUGGAAAAAAAAUGUGUGUUAAUAAGUUUAAGCAAAUGAAAAAAAAUUGGUUUCAAGAAAUAAUACAAAGAUCUCAUUUUUUCACCUUUAAACUAUUGUACGCUAAGCUAUCGGCCAGCUCGUUCUUUGACAACCUGAGAGCCCGUCUUCUAGUGUUGGGAAUCCGAAGCUUUUGCUCAUCUCCCGACAGACAAAAAUCUCCUUGCUGUCAGGGAGACAAUACAAGAAGUCUUCUUCUCCGCUGCCGUUGAAUAUCAACGCCCCCUUUGGAUAUUUCAGUUUUUGGGCAUAAAACUGAGCCUCUUGCUUUUCUUUUUCAGUCAACUCUUUCCCCGAAGCAUGUCGUAAAAUAUAAUUGGAAGCUUCAGAAAAUGCUUCAGGGGCGGCAGUGCCAGUUUCUUCAGUUAAAAUUUGUUCUGCUGCUUCUGUUUCUUUGGUUUCCAAGGAUUUCACCUUGGCGGGCUCUGAAGGCCCAGCUUCAGUCUCAACUUGGUGCUUUGAAGCUUCGACACCAAAGGCUUUGAUUUGUACUUCGGAAGUUUCGGCAAUUUUCUUCGGAGUAGUGCUUGAAGACUUUAUUGUCUCCAAUACAUCCAGUACAUUAACCAUCCUUUUCCUCUUGUGGGUCAAUGCUGGACCCUUUUAGCUUUUUGGUACUUCAACUUUUGCUGAAGGACUUAAAAUUUCAGAUGUCCUUGUUUCUUUAGCCUUCGGUUCUUCUAUUUUCUCUAUCAACGGCAUUAUGACCGGCUCUUCAAUAUCGGCAGGGGAGUCGUCUCCUUGGCUUCGGUGGCCGAAGAGGAUUCACCGACAAACUCGGGCACUGUGGCCGGUUCAAUAUAGCGUGGCCGGUGCGUAAGAACCUUUAUCUUUUUCCUCUUCGGCGCUGGCUCACUAAGAGCGGCUGAAGCAACUUCCUCCGCAGAAGCUGUAUCUUUCCUUUUUUGACCCCGCGUUGAGUAACGGUAGUCAGGAUAUACGAACCAAUGGCAUCAAAUACCCGGUUCAGCCUUUUCUUCUUCCAGCCUCCGAAGGCUGCAGAUAGUGCAGUAUCUUCUGCCUUUGAGUAUGGCCCAAGCAGCUCAUCGCUUAUGGCCUCAAUACUUUUCAGCCAGUCAUCAUCUGGCUCGACGAACUUAUCUCCAUAUUUGAAGGUGAAUUUUAACCUAACUAGUCCACCUUCGUUAGGUUCGCUGACGGUUUCCUUUGGCAUUUCCCACUUUUCUGCAAGCGGUCAUACUUUGAAGGCAAUGUGUUCUUGGAUCAAAUCCUUGUCCCGAUGAAAGAGCAAACCACGCCGAAGGCCCUCUGGCAUUCUUCGGCUGCUUCGUCAAUUUCCACCUUCGGUUUCCGAAGGCGAAGCGCUGCCAGAUAGGGCGCAUAAUGAUAUCUUUAAUAUCUUCUCGCGUUUUCAAGUCGUUCUUCACAUAGAACCAUUCCUUCAUCCAGUCCCCAGGCCAUCUCUUCCGAAAAGUUGGCACGGGACAACUUGACCCAGAGCGGGCACCGAAGCUGUAACAGCCAAAAUUGUUGUGAUAUUGCUCCUUACCCAUGGUUUGUCUCAUACAAUAACUCAUGCAUACUACAGAAACCUUUUGCAUUUGGCUCCAAACCUUGGCUUUUCACGGCCCAUACGAAGAUUCCCAUUCUUAUGAUUGCUUCGGGAGUAAUUUGAUGGAGGCAGAUUUCAAAUAUCUUCAAAACUUCUACCACGAAACUGCUCAAAGGAAACCGAAGUCCAGCCUUAAAGAAGCUUCGGAAUAUCACGACUUCAUUUUCCUCGGGAGUCGAACAAGUUUUCUCUCCUUCGUCAGCCCUCACAAUAGAUAAAUCCCGAAAAUAUCUACCCCUCAUAUUGACAAGAUGGCUUUGUUUAAUGCUUGAUUUUCCAAAAACUGCAUGGCUUGGUCGCCAAGGUCGAUCUUCGGAAUCUUCACCACCACUUUCCACAUCAUAGCUGUCACUGUCACCAGUGUCUUCAGAUAAACCCUCUAAAAUCUCCCUAGUAAUCUUCUCUGUAUUUGUCUUUGCUAUUGAUUCAAGGAAGCCGAGAUUCAUCUCUUCGAAAAGGCUUAGCUUUGACUCAGCGACAGCUUUCUUGUCUUCAGACAUCUUCGAAAAUGCUAAGAAAGUGCUCUCAAAGAUGAAGCUUAAAAAUUUAAAAAGCCAGGCAAGCGUUGGUGUGCAAAGAGCUAAAAAUUAGGAAGGCAAGAGCCGACGGCAAGAAAGCGUGCUAAAUGUGCUCGCGGUGCGUUCUUAUUUAUACGCCCAAUACGUCGCAAGUGGCAGGGCCCCACUUGUCAUUGACUAUUGCUAUUCUAGCAAAGGGAAGGUGUUUUUCGGACCUUCGGCUUAAGGCCUUUGUCCAUAUCACAAUCUGAAUUUAUUAUUCCAGCAAAUUAAUAUUGCGAGGGACUACUGUUGGGGGCCUUCGGCUUCCGAAGGUCCUCAAAAACAUGAUUUGACAAUGUUUUCCAAGUGAAAUAUGUGAACAGGUAUCUUCGGAUUCGGAUCAUGAGCAUAAGCCUGAGCGAGACGAAAGAUGAUUAUGACGAAGGACAAGGUGAUCACGAAGUUGUACGCAGGAAAGCUUCGCAUGACAGUAGAAAAGGGGAACCGACUUAAAGAUGAAAAGACAAAUUAGACCUCGAAGAAUUACUAUAAAGUCAUUAGCAAAUAUAAAGGGCAUGAAUGUAAUUUUAUAUGGGCUGCGCCCCUUGCCUAUAAAUAGAUGAACAGUAUUCCCGUACUGUUCACACUGACUUGGCAUUCGCUUUUUGCAUCACGCUUGUACCCUUGCUUUCCUUCAAACCGAAGGUACAUCUAUAAUUUGUUAUUGUAAAUAUGGUAAUGCAAAUAAAAUAAAUUGAUAAUAAUGUUUAAAUGUUUAUGUUAUUUUUCGUAUUUCGUAUAUGAAUUCUUCCUUAUCAUUUAUUGUGCUUAUGAAGGUUUUUCCUUCACAACCUUCAUCCGGAAUUCAUUAUAUCCGAAGGGAAAUAAUGUCUCGAAGGACGAAGGACUUUAACAUUUAACACUUUUUAUGUUGCCUUGUUCUUAACUCUUAGCAUUUGAGAACAAGUCCCCAACAAAUAGCUACAAGAGAAUGGAGAUGAGUAAAUUAGAAGUGGCAUACGUUGGAGGACUGCUCAGUUAGAAGCGUCGUUGUGCUCUUGGAAAGCUUGCCGACGAUGGAUGAUGCUGCCCCUUGCUGACGGGCACGAACACGCCCAGAGCCACGGAUACGCUCGCAGUCGCAGAGACGCACAUGCUUCCACUCCGGUCAGCGGUCUAUCGUCGACGGUCGACCCUUUGCUCCUUCCUCGGUUCCUCCCGUCCUUCGCCAGCCGCCAGCCGCCAGUCGCCACUCCACCAACCACUGGCCCAUACAGAUUAGGGUUGAGGACAGAGGACUACUCACUUGUCUUAUCAAUCGUCACUCAUGGUCGUGGGUUUGUCC
Molecule: long non-coding RNA, 4546 nt
Filed under: Zea mays
Lineage: Eukaryota; Viridiplantae; Streptophyta; Magnoliopsida; Poales; Poaceae
Description: long non-coding RNA (ZMAY_LNC004382)
Source: RNAcentral